Molecule: long non-coding RNA, 3697 nt
Filed under: Sus scrofa (pig)
Lineage: Eukaryota; Metazoa; Chordata; Mammalia; Artiodactyla; Suidae
Description: lncRNA (ENSSSCG00015052666.1)
Source: RNAcentral
GCUCUCGGCCGUCGCUGCCCAACGAGCUUCGAUAAACUGCUCUUUUACUGACACUCUGCAGGGCCCAUCCGAAAGAGAAAAUGGGGGGAGAACCCAGGACUCUGGCGUUCUGUUCUCCUAAUAAACUGAGGUUACGAUUGCAAGGUGUACGUAUGUGGGCGGUUGGACCAAUGCUGCCAUCUCGUGGCUGAAACCCCCAACACACCGCUACCUUCCUUAAGACCGCGCUGUGGUUUGAGGUGGUUUUAGGCGCGGGCCGCAGACGGGUGAAGCAAAGGAAGAUUUAAUUUGUCAGCCCAGUUAGACCUCCCCAGAUUCCCUGGUUUACUGAAUGGGGCAGGACUUAUGAAAACUAUAGAGAUGUGCAAAAGAACAACCAUCCUUCUCUCUGCUACUAUGAAUUUUGACUUUUUAAGAUUCUACAUGUAAAUGAUAUAAUGACAGCACCCCUGGACAUAGAGAAGUUCUCAGGCCAGGGGUGGAAUCUCUAGCCGCCGGCCUGCACCACAACCACAGCAACUCCAGAUCCAAGCCACAUCUGCGACCUACACCACAGCUCACAGCAACACCAGGUCCUUAACCCACUGAGUGAGGCCAGGGAUCAUACCUGAAUCCCCAUGGAUAUUAGUCGGGUUUGUUACUGCUGAGACAUGAUGGAACGCCCACCAUUUCUUUUUUUAAGUUAAAGUUUUGAUUUUAUGUUUAUCUUUUAUUAUAAAAACUCAUUAUAGAGUUUUAUUUUUUUCCACUAUAGCUGGUUUACAGUGUUCUGUCAAUUUUCUCCUGCAUAGCAAGGUGACCCAGUCACACAUACAUGUAUACAUUCUUUUUUCUUACAUUACCAUGCUCCAUUACAAGUGACCAGACACAGUUCCCAGUGCUAUACAGCGGGAUCCCAUUGCUUAUCCAUUCCAAAGGCAGUAGUUUGCAUCUAUUAAACCCAAAUUCCCAGUCCAUCCCACUCCCUCCCCCUCCCUCUUGGCAACCAGAAGUUUGUUCUUCUUGUCCAUGGUUUUCUUUUCUGUGGAAAGAUUCAUUUGUGCCAUAUAUUAGAUUCCAGAUAUAAGUGAUAUCAUAUGGUAUUUGUCUUUCUUUUUCUGACUUACUUCACUCAGUAUGAGUCUCUAGUUCCAUCCAUGUUGCUGCAAAUAGCAUUAUUUUUUUCUUUUUUUUUAAUGUCUGAAUAGUACUCCAUUGUGUAUAUAUACCACAUCUUCUUAAUCCAAUCCUCUGUCAAUGGACAUUUAGGUUGUUUCCAUGCCUUGGCUAUUGUGAAUAGUGCUGCAAUGAACAUGUGGGUGCAAGUGUCUUUUUCAAGGGAAGUUUUGUCCGAGUAUAUGUCCAAGAGUGGGGUUGCUGAGUCAUAUGAUAGUUCUAUGUAUAGUUUUCUAAGGUACCUCCAUACUGUUCUCCAUAGUGGCUGUACCAGCUUACAUUCCCAUCGACAGUGCAGGAAGGUUCCCUUUUCUCCACACCCUCUCCAGCAUUUGUUAUCUGUGGCCCUUCUGACUGGUGUGAGUGACUUUAUGUUUAAAAGUUAACACAUCUUGAGUUUUCUGAGCCAACAAGCAUGUUCUCUAACACCAUAUUCUACAAGUGGAUAUUGAAAUAAAUUUUAGCUAAAAUAUAUCAACAGAAGAAUUCCUACUAUUCCUUAAAAUACAUUUUUGGUUUUUAACAUUCAGUUAAUUUAAAUUCUUCUAGUACUUACAUUGAAUUAUGGUGGUUUUUUCCCCCCUUUUCCCUAGCAGUUACUGAAAUAUACUUGACAUAUAAUAUUGUACUACUUUUAGUUGUACACAUAGCGAUUUCAUAUUUGUAUACAUAGCCAAAUUAUUACCAUAAUAAAUUUAGUUAACACUCAUACCCUCACAUAGUUAAUAAUUCUUUUUCUUGUGAUAAUAACUUUUAAGAUCUACUCUCCUAGCUAAUUACAAAUAUACAACAUUGUUAACCAUACUCACCAUGCUAUACAUUACAUCCCUAGAAUUUAUCUUAUGACUGGAAGUUUGUACCUUUUGCUUACCUUCACCCAUUUUGCCUCUCACCCCCAAACCCCACCUCUGGCAACUACCAAUACGUAUCUAUGAGUUUGGGUUUUCAUUUUUGUUUUUUUUGUUUUUUGUCUUUUUAGGGCCGAAUCUGUGGCACAUGCAGCUUCCCAGGCUAUGAGUUGAGUUGAAGCUGUAGCUGCCAGCCGAGCAGUGUCUGCCAUCUAUACCACAGCUUACUGAGCCACAAUGGGAACUCCAAGUUUGGGGUUUUGUUUUUUUUAAGAUUCCAUGUAUAGAUGAGAUCAUACAGGGUUUGUCUUUCUCUUUCUGACUUAUUUCACAUAAUGCCUUCAGGGUCCAUCUGUCAUUGCAAAUGGCAGGAUUUCUUUUAUUUAGAAAUAAUUUUAUUGAAAUAUAGUUGUUUCACAACAUUGUUCCUUCAUUUUUAUGGCUGAAUUUCCUCUGAUAUAUAUUGAUAUACUGAUGUCAUGUUUUCUUUAUCCGUUCAUCCAUCAAUGGACAUUUGGGUUGAUUCCAUAUGUUGGCUGUUGUAAAUCAUCCUGCAAUGAACAUGAAGGUGCAGAUAGGUAUCUUUUUGAGAUAGUGGUUUUUCUUUCUUUUGAAUAUAUACAUAGAAGUAGGAUUGCCGGAUUAUAUGGCAGUUUUCAAUUUUUUGAUGAACCUCCAUACUGUUCUCCAUAGUGGUUAUGCCAGUUUACAUUCCCACCUACAGUGAACAAGGGUUCCUUUUUCUCCACAUCCCCACCAACUUUUGUUAUUUCUGGGUUUUUUUUUUGAUGAUAGGCAUUGUAAGGUGAUAUCUCAUUGUGUGUGAGUGUGUGUGUGUGUGUGUGUGUGUGUGUGUGUGUGUGUGUGUGUGUGUGUGUUUGGCCAUGCCUAAGGCAUGUGGAGAUUCUCUGGGUCAGGAAUUGAACCCAUGCCAAAGCAGUGACCUGAGCCAUAGCCAUGACAGUGCUCCAUCCUUAACCACCAGGCUACCAGGGAACUCCCCCACCUAUAUUUUUUCUUCUAGGAGUUUUAUGGUGUCUAGUCUUACAUUUAGGUCUUUAAUCCAUUUUGAGUUUAUUUUUAUAUAUGGUGUUAGAGAAUGUUCUAGUUUCAUUCUUGUACAAGUAACUGUCCAGUUUUCCUAGUACCACUUAUUGAAUAGAAUAUAUUUUCUCCAUUGUAUAUUCUUGCCUCCUUUGUCAUGGAUUAAUUAACCAUAAGUGUGUGGAUUUAUUUUGGGGCUUUCUUUUCUUUUCCAUUGAUCUAUGUGUCUGUUGGAAGCACAACUGAUUAUUGUGUAUUGAUUUUGAAUACUCCAAAUUUACUGGAUUUAUUAGUUGUAAGAGUUUGUGCGUGUGUGCGUGUGUGUGUGGAGUCUUUAGAGUUUUCUUCCUGUAGGAUCAUGCCAUCUGCAAACAGUGAGAACUGUCCUUCUUCCUUUUAGAUUUGGAUUUCUUUUUUGUGGGGGCUCUGAUUGCUGUUUACAAUAUUUCUAGUACAAUGUUGAAUAGAAGUGGCAAGAGUGGACAUCCUUGUCUUGUACUGAAUCUUAGGAAAAAAUUAUCAGUUCUUCUGCAUUGAUUAUGAUUUAGCUGUGACUUUUCAUAAAUGGUCUCUGUUAUGUUGAGAAAGUUUCCUUUUGUACCUAUUUUGUUGAGAAUUUAUAUCACAAAUAAAUGUUGAAUGUUGUCAAA